This is a long non-coding RNA of Ailuropoda melanoleuca (giant panda), 2770 nucleotides long. RefSeq lists it as uncharacterized. NCBI's taxonomy places the organism in Eukaryota, Metazoa, Chordata, Mammalia, Carnivora, Ursidae. The transcript is spliced from 3 exons. The record is from RefSeq and is a predicted model, not a curated record.
CCCUUGUUCUACCAGAAUUGUAUAGCGCAAAGAUGCCUCCCUCUGAUGAAGCCCAGACCUGCCCAUUUUUCACUCUAGCUAUCAUAAACACAAACAGAGGCAACAGUGGCAUGACUGAAGUCCCCGGAUGGGAUCAACUGUGGUCUGUGGCUAAGGAAGGGCAGAGUUUGGCUUAUAAAAAUAUCCAAGAAGUGAGCAAGAUUCAUACUGAUGUAACUGUGUUGUUAAUAAAAAUUUUUGUUUCGGUAAUGAACUUUUUUAUACAAUUAUCAAUAUACCAUCAAAGUUAGGAAAGGGGUACCAAGAGAUGUCCAAUGAAUCAUCUUAAUGUCAAACAUCGUUUUCCCUGUCCCCAUUAUAUAAUAAUAGCUCUACGUCCUCCUCAGGAUUGGGGUCAAUUUUCGACGUCAGGAUGUUACCAUUCCUCGUAUGUUGCCCCCUUGACUGCUGGACUCUUGCUGCCCAUGGUAGAAAUGUUCCCUUUGGUGAGUCAUGUCCUUCAUGGCUGUAGAACACAAAGUUGUGAGGAUCGGAGUCCAAAUUUUUUAAGUAGGCCACAGAAAGCGAGGCUAAGCAGGGUCCCUCCAGCCUCCACCUCUUGGAUCCUGGACCUUUGUAUUAUACCUAAUGGUAAAAAAAGAACCAAACCAAACCAAAACCAAAACAGUUCUUGAUUCAGGAUACAUGCUGUAUUUUGGAGGGUAUUUCAUUAUGUUUGCAUGGUAUCUUCAAGCUGGACCCUCAGCUGUGCCUUUGAAAGGCCAUUGCAUUACUGUCAGGUGAUGUGGCAAGUUAUGGGACAAGUUGACCUCAUAUUCGUAUGCCCAGUGUGGACCUUUUCUUCUGUAAAGUGAUUACUUGAUCAGUGUUAGAUGGGAUAGAAUAUCAGAUCAAACACUCUCUAAGCCCUGAGACAGUGGAGCUGCCUCAGUGACUAUAUGGUAACGAAUCACUCUCUCUUCCAAAGUGGAAGACAUCCAGUGUAAUCAAAUGGACAUGGAAGGGCUAUUGACCUACCGGAGAGAUGGUGCCAUUUUGGGAAUUCUGUGUUGGUCUCUCCAGAUGGUAUAUUGGACAUUUAGCAGUGGCAGCACGUAUACACUUCUUGGCUGCAAGAAUUUUGAAGGUGGGCUCCAUAUCCUGUUCAUCAUCUCACAUCCCACUGUGCUCACAGAACACUGCCUUGUAGGUGGUCACUCAAUAGGUUUUGAAUGGAUGCAUUAGUUUUCCUGUCAUGUAUCAAUGCUCUCUUCCUGCCAGUUUUCGAAAUGUGCAGUCAUCAUUUUCAGUUCCUUAUAAAUUCUCUAAGGUCUGUUUGCUGCUGAUUAACUGUGUGUGGAAGAAACAGAAGAGAACCAGAAUCACAAGUCAACAGAUGGUGAAAAAAAUAGUCAGAUGAGGGGGUCGGAGAAUCAAUCGUACUUUGUGAGAAGGGGAAAAAGACACUAAUGGAAGCCCACUUUGUCAGGACUCUGGGAGCCACUCAGAGAGCCUCUUGAAACUAGAACUCCUAAUUUUGAGCUUGAGGGUGAGUGACCGCAGCAGCAGACAUCCCAAGCUCUGUGACAAAAUGGGGAGGAAUUUGUUUUCUCAUCCUUUUCCUAUAGCUUCUGAGGGAACUGCCACCUGUUUGGAACAGCCCACCUUCUCAUCUUCCUGGGUGAUGAAAACCUGCUCCAUGUGGAAAGAGAUGGAAUAUGAGAUCCGUGCUGGAAAAAGCCGUAAAGAUGACCCAGUGCACCUCUUCAUUUCCCUGGAGUUUCGCGAGUGGCAGGGGGUGGUAGAAUUGGAGUCAGGGGACGUGACACAGCUAAAAUGAAAUGUAUGGUUUCCAGCAAACAAAUCUUGAGAGGAAUAUUACAGAUUUAUAAACAUAUUUUGACAAAUUAGUAAAAAUAUGUGUUGAUUUACAAUCAGUUUUCUAUAAAUAAUGACUGUUGUUUAAAAUCUGAAGAGCAUUAAUAUUCUGUCAGGCAUCCUAAACCUUUUGGAGCCUGUCUGUGAGCAGAACUCGAGCAGAACUCUCUGAUGCAGACGAUUAAAGUCUGGAUCUGGUCCAGCAUCUUCAGCCUUGAUUCUGGGCUCUGGCAAUGAAGGGACGCACCUGCGUUAGUCAGGAAACAGCGAGUGUCUGGACUUGGAUUCUCAUUAAAUAAUCAAAUCCAAGAAGACACACUUGGGCAAGGGCCAGGAUCAGGAGAAGGCGACUGAGUAACACAUGCAAACGAGCUCUCUAUUGUCAUUCUCUAACCAGAGUCAGUGACCAGAUGGACAGAAAAUGUUUUGGAUAAGAGCCUGGUGUCAGGCUCAGAUAGACUGAAUUCAAAGCCUGACUGUGUCAAGUACUUUUUGGAAAGCAACCUAACCUCUUUACACUUUAGUUUUCUCAUUUGUAAAACAGCAACAGUAUUCGUACUCAUAGAGAUACUGUAAAUAUUAAAGUACGUAAAAUGCCUAGCAUAUAGUAAGCACUCAAUACACACUGUGGGUAUGAACAUUGUUCCUCUUAAUGCUACUACUUGGUGUCCCGGGGAAGUUUUGUAGCACAAAGAAGGAAGGAUAAAUCAAAGCAAGGAACAUACACAACCUAGGAAUUAAUAGAUCGAUUCUCAUAUCCCUUCUUUGUACUUAUUUACCAAAUCUUAAAAGAAUGCAAUAGAAUUGUUCCUUAGCAUCUUUUCUUGAUUGUAAGAAAGACAUGAUUCUGGCCCUGUUAGUGAAAAGCGGUAUUAUGAAAUAAGAAAUGGAAAAGCUGCUUAAAAAUGAUAGU